This 460-nucleotide ribosomal RNA is filed under the name uncultured bacterium. RNAcentral describes it as "partial 16S ribosomal RNA". It matches the Rfam family "Bacterial small subunit ribosomal RNA", at positions 338 to 795 of the family's 1533-position model. The record is from RNAcentral.
CCUACGGGAGGCAGCAGUGAGGAAUAUUGGUCAAUGGCCGGAAGGCUGAACCAGCCAUGCCGCGUGAAGGAUGACUGCCCUACGGGUUGUAAACUUCUUUUAUAAAGGAAUAAAGUGAGGCACGUGUGCCUUUUUGUAUGUACUUUAUGAAUAAGGAUCGGCUAACUCCGUGCCAGCAGCCGCGGUAAUACGGAGGAUCCGAGCGUUAUCCGGAUUUAUUGGGUUUAAAGGGAGCGUAGAUGGGUUGUUAAGUCAGUUGUGAAAGUUUGCGGCUCAACCGUAAAAUUGCAAUUGAUACUGGCAGCCUUGAGUACAGUUGAGGUAGGCGGAAUUCGUGGUGUAGCGGUGAAAUGCUUAGAUAUCACGAAGAACUCCGAUUGCGAAGGCAGCUUACUAAACUGCCACUGACAUUGAUGCUCGAAAGUGUGGGUAUCAAACAGGAUUAGAUACCCCUGUAGUC